RNAcentral lists this ribosomal RNA (460 nucleotides) under uncultured bacterium. RNAcentral's name for it is "partial 16S ribosomal RNA". It matches the Rfam family "Bacterial small subunit ribosomal RNA", at positions 338 to 795 of the family's 1533-position model. The record is from RNAcentral.
CCUACGGGAGGCAGCAGUGAGGAAUAUUGGUCAAUGGCCGUAAGGCUGAACCAGCCAAGUCGCGUGAAGGAAGAAGGAUCUAUGGUUUGUAAACUUCUUUUAUAGGGGAAUAAAGGUAUCCACGUGUGGAUAUUUGCAUGUACCCUAUGAAUAAGCAUCGGCUAACUCCGUGCCAGCAGCCGCGGUAAUACGGAGGAUGCGAGCGUUAUCCGGAUUUAUUGGGUUUAAAGGGUGCGUAGGUUGUUUUUUAAGUCAGCGGUGAAAGUUUGUGGCUCAACCAUAAAAUUGCAGAUGAAAUUGGAAGACUUGAGUGUGUUUGAGGUAGGCGGAAUGCGCGGUGUAGCGGUGAAAUGCAUAGAUAUCACGCAGAACACCGAUUGCGAAGGCAGCUUACUAAGCCAUAACUGACACUGAGGCACGAAAGCGUGGGGAUCGAACAGGAUUAGAUACCCCUGUAGUC